AAACACCAUUUCUGAUCAAUUUCUAUCAAUUAGAAACUACAACAUCUCCAACCAUUAUUGGUAAGCCAUCUCUGACCUACACUUUCCGGCCACUGGCCACCAUCUCCGACCAACUACCACCGCUUGCGUCCACCGAUACUAUCACUCUUACCCUCAUAACCGGAAAUCUAAAAAUCCAUAAAACCCAAAAAAUCCAGAAAAAACCCAAAAACUCUCACUAUGGUUGUAGAGUUGAAACCCUAGCAUGCAGAACCACAAAACCACUAUCAUUAAAAAGAGAGCGAUAAAGAUGAGGUGGUGGUCGUCGGAUGUGCAGAGAGAGGAGGGAUAAUGAGGCGUUAAGGAUACCGAUCUAUUGAAACUCACAAUUCAUAAAUUUAAUCAACUACUGAGAUAGCAGAUCUAUAAGAGGGUGAGGUGCUUCAUCACCAGUGGGAUUGGGGCUUGGAUUUCCGAUGAUGGUUCCAGUCUACCAGAUUUUUGUUCUUCAACAGAUGUGCAGAGAGAAGGGGAGAUUGAGGCGUUGAGGAUAGUGGUGUGCAUGUGGAAUGAAACAAUGGUGCUCGACUGGCCGUCGUUGUCUCCUUAUUUCUUACCUAAUCCGGAGAUUGAGCCGCCACCGCCCACCUGCCUCCCUGACGCCAGAGCUCCUCCUUGUUUGUUCUCCGGCAAGACAAACCGUCACCAUACAACGUCAUCAAACUCCUACCAGAGCUCCACCUACUUCUGGACACUGAUGAAAUCAAUAAUUCUUGAAUUUCUGAUGGGUUUUAUAUAGAUGAAAGAAGAGAGAAAGGGGGAAUAGCUGGAGCGGUGUCCUCACGUUCCAAAAGAAGUGAUUGCAAUGCUUUCAAGAGCUCCUUUUUGCUUAUUCCAUAUGCUUUGGUUGUCAAUGCAGCAGGAUGGCUCUUGUUUUUGUCAUAUGGGAUUGAAAUCUCUUCUGCCAUUCUCCUUCCUUCAUGGAAGGAUUCAUAUGCCUCAGCAAAUUCUUUCGCUGUGAUAAACCUGUAAGGUUGGUCUCUCUCUCUCUCUCUAUCCAGUAUUGCUCCUGGUCUUUCUUUGAUGUUACCUACACAAACAUGUGUCUGCGUGUGAGUGCGCGCUUUUACAUAAGCUUUUUCGGCCAAAUAACUUCAUGAAAGUCUCGUGGAGCCUUUUCAUUUUGCUUGUAAAAAUUUACAAGCUUGAUCAUAUAUAUUCAUAUGAGGUUUUCAUGAUUCA
Lactuca sativa (garden lettuce) is the source of this 1221-nucleotide long non-coding RNA. RefSeq lists it as uncharacterized. The record is from RefSeq and is a predicted model, not a curated record. NCBI's taxonomy places the organism in Eukaryota, Viridiplantae, Streptophyta, Magnoliopsida, Asterales, Asteraceae.